Molecule: long non-coding RNA, 166 nt
Organism: Orcinus orca (killer whale)
Lineage: Eukaryota; Metazoa; Chordata; Mammalia; Artiodactyla; Delphinidae
Exons: 3
Source: RefSeq, a predicted model, not a curated record
AGAGGAAGAUCACUCAGCAGACGGGAUAUUUGUAGACCCGUCAUACAAAGAGCACUGAACCCAGGAAAUAUGCAUUCACACCUUGAUUCUUUGGAAAACAAGAGUUCUUGAUUACUCUGAAAACUAGACUUGUUAAGGUAUAAGACUGCUAGAAAAUGGAUUUGGG